AUGCGGCGUGCGAGCUGGAUGUCCUUGGGCAUGAUGGUGACGCGCUUGGCGUGGAUGGCGCAGAGGUUGGUGUCCUCGAACAGGCCAACCAGGUACGCCUCGGCGGCCUCCUGCAGCGCCGACACGGCGGAGGACUGGAACCUCAGGUCGGUCUUGAAGUCCUGGGCGAUCUCCCUCACCAGGCGCUGGAAGGGGAGCUUGCGGAUGAGCAGCUCCGUGCUCUUCUGGUACUUGCGGAUCUCCCGGAGCGCCACGGUGCCCGGGCGGAAGCGGUGGGGCUUCUUCACGCCGCCGGUGGCCGGGGCCGACUUGCGCGCCGCCUUGGUCGCCAGCUGCUUCCUCGGCGCCUUGCCGCCAGUGGACUUGCGCGCCGUCUGCUUCGUGCGGGCCAUCGGAGAAGAGGGGUGGGUGAGGGUGUGGGUGCUUCGCCGGUGA
Molecule: ribosomal RNA, 435 nt
Filed under: Triticum aestivum (bread wheat)
Lineage: Eukaryota; Viridiplantae; Streptophyta; Magnoliopsida; Poales; Poaceae
Description: partial small subunit ribosomal RNA
Source: RNAcentral